AGCAAAACAGAUUUGUCGUCAGUGCACAGCACCAACUAUUGUGCGGACUAUGAUUGCCAGCUGUGGGCAAGGUUUUGAAGCUGGUCAGCGCCGUAUGGAAGUGGUUAAGACCACCUACUUAUAUUAUGCAUGCCAUUACAUGGGAUUGUGGGCUGAGACCCCUGUCACCAAAUGUAGGAAGAAAUCAAAUACAGUUUUGGAAAUGCAAACACAUUUCUAUUUGCUGAUGGACAUGUAUUGUUUAUGAAGUUUUUAGUUGUAAGUAACAGAAGAUCCAAUUUAAACCUUUUUAGCUUAUAUGUCAGAAACAUAUGGGUUUCUCAGAGGUAUGUGGGUUUCAGGAUUAUCUGAUCCAGAAGUUCUAUGAUGCAGUUUCUCUCUCCCACUGGACUCUAAUAUAUAUGAUGAGGGCCCUAUCUCAGGCUGCUUCCCCUUAUUUGUGUCCAAGGGAGAGUCCUUAGCUUUGCACUGAUUGGGCCAGGCCUGAACCAAUCCCUGUGGUCAUAAGAAGGCUAUGAGCUGAUGGACUUGGGCCUGGGCAACCUAAGGCAGUCACUGUGCCAAGAGGAAUAGGAUGAAGUGGGGGUGUCGAUUCAGUUCAAAUUUCAUGGCUGCUAUUCAAUGAGGAGGGAAGAGAACCACAAUGUCCAAAUCAGUAAUAAUGGUGCCCUGGGAAGCAGAACACUGUCUCAAAAACUAAGUGCAUGAUUAUUUUGUCAAUUAAAGUAAAAGAGGCACAAAAUGAAACUUGUAUUGUUGUGCUUGAUUUCCAACAAUUCCCUGGAAUUAAAGGAUUUAUGUGAAGCCGUUCGUCCUCCUUGGCAGCCUCCUCACUUCUACCCCAUAUUUAAUGAAACUGAAGUCAAAUGGAUUGUGCAGCUUAGAUGCCAUGGUAACUAUAUAGACAACAUAGUCAAUCUUGUGUCCAGAGCUGGUGGUGUUUAGAAUGUUUGGGCAGAGAUAAAAGGGUCAAAUGGCUUGUCCUCUGUCUGGCAUAACCGCUCUGCUCUGAGUCAAAGCUGAAUAGUCAAGCCUCAAAAGCAGUAUCUCAAAUGGCCAAUUUAAACAAAAAGUCCACUUACAAAUUAGGUGGCUCUCCAAAGGGUGUUCUGAAACAUUUAUUUGCUUAAGUGACCAUAAAAUUAGUAAUAUGGUUAGGACUCAAAUUAAUUGGCUAGCACAGCCUUGCAAAUUUAUUUCAUAGGCUCCACUUGGCCAGAACAUGGUUUUUGCAUUGAUUUGUGUCACCUUUAAAGCCAAUAUGUUAUCAGGCCUUUUACAACUGACAAACCAGCCUUUUAUACCAUAAUUCUUCCUCCUGGGGAUCUGAAAGCAUGUUAUAAACACUGUCCCCCUAGAAUCCCAUGAGAUUUUGUGUGUGUUGACACAUGUAUAUGUAAGUACCAUAUAUGCCCACCUAUAAACAGGGAAUUGAGUCUACUAUGUACAAGAUAUUUUACCUAAAUCAUUUUAUUUAGUUGCAGUCACUGUAUUUGAGUCUCAUUGUAUAGAUGAUAAAACUGAGGCUUGGAGAGGUGAAAUGAUUUUCCAGCAGUCAAAGAACUGGUAAGUAGCAAAGCCUGAGUUGAGCUCAAGUGUCACUGUCUCACUGCCUCUCUAGGACUUGAGUUGUUAUAUUUUAAUUUGCUCUUAGCUUUGUCUCCUUCCCUAUCCACCUCUCCUCUGUUGACCUCCAUAUUCAUUGACUCAGUAAAUAUCUAUCAAAUACUUUUAUAUGUCACACGCUAUUUUAGGUGCUAGAGGUGCAGCAGCGAACAAAAUAGAUGAAAAUUCUUGCCCUCAUGGAGUGUUUAGUUGGAUGGUUCCAUCGUCCAAAUCUUGAUCUUCCAGAUUUACCCCUAGAUAUUGUUUUUCUUUUAACCAUUCAGUGAACUCAAGGCUUCCCCCCAAAAUGUUACUUGUCCUGAAAUACAACUCUGUAUGUCAAAUUCUUGAGGAUGAUGGCAAUAUUCCUUUAUACUUCAUAUCCAAAACACUCUGCUGCCCUAUUGUUUUGGUUUCAGAGAACGUAGCCAAUCCCUGCAUUGACUCCUUGCCGAGUGGCACAUGGAUACAUGGGUAUCGAGGGGCCCAGUGGAUCAAGAGAUGGGUGUCAUCAGUCCACUUUGCAGGGGAGCAGGUUCUUUCUGAGCCUGAGAUUUGAAGGCAAAGUUUGUUGAGAAGUGCCCUCAGGCACAUAUUAGGCAGGGAGAAAUGUUGAAGUACUAUGCAAUUGCAACAAAGGUCAACCCUACAGGGAGUUCUGGAGCUGGAAUGGCCUCAGAGUCAUCGUCUGUUGGCCUGAGAGGGCCAGGCCUUUGAACUCCUACAUCAACAGUUGUUAUUAGUAGAUGCAGGCUGCCCCUGGGAAGAGAGUGACUCUGGGUGAGGUGGCUCUCUCUAGCCAUGGCAAUUCCCAGAUAGGGUCUCAGCUGAAUGCCGGCCAUCAACACACCUGGAAACUGGGGGAAUGAUCGCUCCGGUCUGGAGCGGUGGGUCUGGGCAGCACAGCACAGUCUCCACAACAAGGGGCUUCUCACCUGGAAGCUGAGAGUGAUGUCUCUCUCCUUCCUGCCUUCCCCAGCUGGAACAUUCUUACAGGCUCCUCACCUCUAGGUAUUACUUCAGCAGGGUUUUGAAGAAACUCAAAAGGCCCUAAAACAUGAAACUCAAACCUCAACACUCUUAGACUCAUCAAAGACACACUGCAGGAAACCUGGGCAGAACACCUCCCAGGCAAAGCUGUUAGUUUGAGCUACCACUGAGCAAGCCAGCUACUUGACCCUAACCUGGACUUCCUGUUUUGGCAAUACCAGAAACAUUUAUUUAAUUGGCUUCUAUUAUUAUUUAGUUCUUUUUGCUCCUCAGGACUAUCAUAUUGUUUUGUUUGGUUAAAGUUAAUGUUUAUUCGGCCAAACUAGGCAUUGGACCUAAAGCUACACAGAUUAUUUCAUUUAAUCCUCAAAACAGCCAAAUGAAGUAGGUAUCGUUAUUAUCUCCAUUUAAUGGAUACGGCCAUUGUGGGGCACAAUGAAGCUGGGGAACUUCCACAUGGUCAUGCUACUGACCAAGCCGAUACAAGAACCCAACUCUGCCUGCCAUGCUUGGGCUCCGACCACUGUACCACCUUGCCCCUCCCCCUUUUACAUAGUUGUCCUGGGUCUCCUUUAAGUUUAUAUGUUAAGAUAUACUCUGGAAUCCUCUAUGUCCCACUGAUUUCUUGAUUGAAUCACCAAAUAAACAUACUGUAUUCUAGACAGUGUCCAAGGCACUGGGGCCAUCGUACAUGAGACAGACACAUUCGUUCCUCUCAAAAAUUCUCACAGGAUAGUGAAGGGCUUCAGAGACGUAAACGCACUCACAAGAUAGAGUGAUACAUUAUAAGGUACGAGAAGCCGAGAGUGCUACAGGUGCACAUAGGAGGGCUCCUGACCCAGCCAUAGGGGGAGGGGAGGUGGUCAGUGAAAGCUGGGUGGAAGGGACAGCUAAGCAGAAGCCUAAAGCAACUUUGCAGGUAAAUGUGUAUGUGUGUGUGUGUAGAGGGGGAGCACGGAGAUGCAAAUGCUUGGCAGUGAACUCAAGAAUUGAGAAGAAAUUCAGGCUCUCUGGGGCCCCUAUUUGAGAGUUCGGGCACAGGAAGGGUGAAGUGAGACUGAGCAUGUCAUGCACACUUCCCAAGCCACGUUGCAGAGACUGGACUUUACCCCCAAGUAAAUUGGGAAACCACUGAAGGGUGUUGAAUAGGGUGAUAUUGUCAGAUUUGCUUUAUAUUUUGUUGGUAAGUUUUUAGUUUUCUUUUUAACAGCUUCAUUGAGGUAUAAUUUACGUAAACUAAACUGCACAUAUUUAAAGUAUUCAAUGUGAUAAAUUUUCACAGGUGUAUAUAUAAAUCUGAAACUUCCUUCUCCUGCUUCGUAUUGUUAAUACACUUUAUCUCUUUAAGUUACAUUUAUUGUAUUUAUUUUAAGCUCUUGUUCCAUAAGUUUUAAUCAUUUAUUGAAUUUGUUGGUCCAUUUGUUGUCUUUAGGUGGAGAGUUAUUUUGCCCUGGGAAAUCAUGUUCCUGUUUUAAUCUAUCCUGUCUGGUAAUGUGUUUUAAGGAAAAGCUCAAUCCCUCCAGAUAAAGCUUAUCUACUGUGAAUGCACUAAUCUUAAGUGCCAAAUGCCUUCAUUGUGUAACCCAAACCCUUAUCAAAAUGCAGAGCACUGCCAUCACCCCAGAAGAUUCCUUCACACACCUUCCCAGUCAAUCCCCACUCCCACCACCCCACCCACCCCCACAGAUUAGUUUUGGAUGUUCUACAACUUCAAUAAAUGGAGUAAUACAGUA
Long non-coding RNA from Microcebus murinus (gray mouse lemur), 4328 nucleotides. RefSeq lists it as uncharacterized. The record is from RefSeq and is a predicted model, not a curated record. NCBI's taxonomy places the organism in Eukaryota, Metazoa, Chordata, Mammalia, Primates, Cheirogaleidae.